AGAUUGAUUAGUUUUUAACAACUUGUGACUGGGAGCGGGCGCGGGGAAACUGGUUUGAAAAAGGCGGCAAAGGAUAACGUUCUAGUUCUGGUUAUGCGUUCCACUUCCCAGAUAAAAUAUGCAUAGGAUGAGUUCAACACGUGCACUAAAUUAACCCGGAGUGGAUUGGAGCGGCAGAACGGGCAAAGGCAGGCCGAGAGUCCUGGCAAGGAUAUUUGUCGAACCGGGAAGGCUGAAUGGCAGCAAUUAGCCACAAGCCAAACCAGCCACAUGCAAAAAUGUCAAAGAAAAUGGGAGAGGGACGUACCAUCCCCUCUGGGGCGUUCAUAACUCCGCAUUUCGAUCUCGGCCAGAAAGUGUAUUUUAAGCCCACCCCCCCCCCCCCCCCAGAAACUGACCACGUAAAUCAUGUUGCACUACCACUUUCACUACUAUUUUUAAUGCAUGUGACAUACACUUGCAUUUACGGAGCUGCAUACGCAAUCACAUUUGAUAUUUGCAUGCG
Non-coding RNA from Drosophila melanogaster (fruit fly), 505 nucleotides. Lineage: Eukaryota; Metazoa; Arthropoda; Insecta; Diptera; Drosophilidae. The record is from Ensembl.